UGCAAGUCGAACGGUAACGCGGUGAGAAGCUUGCUUCUCACCGGCGACGAGUGGCGAACGGGUGAGUAAUACAUCGGAACGUGUCCGCUCGUGGGGGACAACCAGCCGAAAGGUUGGCUAAUACCGCAUGAGUUCUACGGAAGAAAGAGGGGGACCCGAAAGGGCCUCUCGCGAGCGGAGCGGCCGAUGACUGAUUAGCCGGUUGGUGAGGUAACGGCUCACCAAAGCAACGAUCAGUAGCUGGUCUGAGAGGACGACCAGCCACACUGGGACUGAGACACGGCCCAGACUCCUACGGGAGGCAGCAGUGGGGAAUUUUGGACAAUGGGCGCAAGCCUGAUCCAGCUAUUCCGCGUGUGGGAUGAAGGCCCUCGGGUUGUAAACCACUUUUGUAGAGAACGAAAAGACACCUUCGAAUAAAGGGUGUUGCUGACGGUACUCUAAGAAUAAGCACCGGCUAACUACGUGCCAGCAGCCGCGGUAAUACGUAGGGUGCGAGCGUUAAUCGGAAUUACUGGGC
This 520-nucleotide ribosomal RNA is filed under the name uncultured bacterium. RNAcentral's name for it is "bacterial SSU rRNA". It matches the Rfam family "Bacterial small subunit ribosomal RNA", at positions 56 to 559 of the family's 1533-position model. The record is from RNAcentral.